Molecule: long non-coding RNA, 992 nt
Organism: Halichondria panicea
Lineage: Eukaryota; Metazoa; Porifera; Demospongiae; Suberitida; Halichondriidae
Exons: 4
Source: RefSeq, a predicted model, not a curated record
CAUUCCAAUGACCAAUCUCUACUCCACCCACUCACUCACAUGUCCGUUUGCUAGUGGAGUUGAACAUGAAUGCUAUAUAAAAGACCGUGCAUGUACAAGCUAGUAUGACGAAGCCUCGUACCCUCCCAUUCCCUCUUUCUCACCAAGUUGAAAAAGAGGACAGCCCUGGACUAUACUAAGGGCAUGUACUGCCUCCGGGUCCCUCAUGCAUGCCCUCCUAAAUUAACGAGAUGGUUCCAGCCCGCCCCACUAAACCAGCCCCUAAAAAUGAAUCCCCGGCACCUCCACGCCCUUCUAAAUAAUGCGCCAAGCACUAUAAUAGGUUUUUCACCACUUUAUACAUGGUAGAGAGGUUGUCCUUGCAGAUUGUAACUACGGAUACACUGCAGUGCUAAUGUUGAGGUACUAUGUGGCUGAGGGUAUGAGGCUGUACUCUCAAGACCUGGAGGGUGGUCACACAGACAAGGAGAGUGCAGCUGGUAGAGCAGCACAUCCACAAAAUGCGUGAGUUUCCGUGCGUGGAAUACAAAAUUAAUGUGGAUAAGCUAGCCAAAUCCAUGAUAUUUUUGCAGCACACAUUUUUUAGCAGAUCUAUCUUGCUGUGAUGUUGCAUGGUGCAUGUGCGUGUGUGCAGGUGGACUUCUACAUCUCCCAGAACCAGGCUAAGUGUCCUCCCUCCUCCCCUCUGUGCUGAGACACUACAACACAGACACUACCCUCAACACAUCAACCUCCUGGAGACACUGCUCAGAGUAGAUUUUCCACAUAACAUCAAUCGUAUUUGUGUAAUUGUGCUGUGACUACAUGCAUUUGGGUGUGUUCAAUGUUGCUCUGUAUUUCUGGACCAAAAAGACAUAAUUAUGUGUGGAUCUGUUUGCCUUUGAAGAUGUAUAUGCAGGGAACAACUAGUCCUAUAUGCAGAGAAAGUUAAGGGAACAAUUAACACAGCUAUUCAUUCUAACACACAUCUUGAAUAAACGCCCAUCCCCUCU